This 235-nucleotide ribosomal RNA is filed under the name uncultured Staphylococcus sp. Its description in RNAcentral is "partial 16S ribosomal RNA". It matches the Rfam family "Bacterial small subunit ribosomal RNA", at positions 105 to 334 of the family's 1533-position model. The record is from RNAcentral. Lineage: Bacteria; Bacillati; Bacillota; Bacilli; Caryophanales; Staphylococcaceae.
GGUGAGUAACACGUGGAUAACCUACCUAUAAGACUGAGAUAACUUCGGGAAACCGUAGCUAAUACCGGAUAAUAUUUUGAACCGCAUGGUUCAAAAGUAAAAGACGGUCUUGCUGUCACUUAUAGAUGGAUCCGCGCUGCAUUAGCUAGUUGGUAAGGUAACGGCUUACCAAGGCAACGAUGCAUAGCCGACCUGAGAGGGUGAUCGGCCACACUGGAACUGAGACACGGUCCAG